This 577-nucleotide long non-coding RNA is filed under the name Monodelphis domestica (gray short-tailed opossum). RNAcentral describes it as "lncRNA (ENSMODG00000043892.1)". Lineage: Eukaryota; Metazoa; Chordata; Mammalia; Didelphimorphia; Didelphidae. The record is from RNAcentral.
ACUAUAAUGACAUUAAACUGAGUCAUUAGAAAACAAAGAAAAUUCAAAUUUAACAGCUUACCAAUCAAAUGUUUUUAAAGAAAACCCUCUUAAAUCUUCUAUUACUAAAAGCAACCAUCCUUGAAUUGACUCUCCAAUUGUUGGACGUUUGUUCAUAAUUGUUGCUGUGGAUUCAUUUUUGCAGUUGUGCCUGACUUUUAUGACUCGACAUGGAGCUUUCUUGGCAAAGAUACUGUAGAUGAGUCUUUCUGACUUCAGGCCCAGUGCUCUAUCCUCUGCUUUCCUGUAACAUUCCAAAAACAAGAGUGCCUGAGAAUCAAUACAUUUGUGAUUUGGCCAUAUAGAGGUGAAAAGAAUACGGAACUAUGAUCCUUUUGAUUCAGAACAAUUCCAAUGGAGUAUGCACUUCUCUGGCACGGAGCAGGUUCCCACUCACUGAACAAUUUCAGAGGAUAUAUAUGUCUUUUACCAGAGAAGACACCAUAUUUCUUCCCUCUAAGACAUGAUUAACAGAGCUCAAAAGAGAAGACCAUCCUCAGAGAAUAAAAACAAAUGCAUUAGGUUGUUAUUUGAGAAA